RNAcentral lists this long non-coding RNA (5349 nucleotides) under Gallus gallus (chicken). Its description in RNAcentral is "lncRNA (ENSGALG00010022980.1)". The record is from RNAcentral. Lineage: Eukaryota; Metazoa; Chordata; Aves; Galliformes; Phasianidae.
CCCUGCACUUCCGAGACUGACCAUCCCCACCUCCCACCCAAAAAAAAAUAAUCUCUUUGAGAUAGUGCAAUCCCCACUGCACAGCCCCCCACCACCAGCCAAGAGCACAGCCCACCCCCAGGGCAGGCUCUGCUCUUGGCUGUUCACCACACAGCUCCAAAACAAACACCACACUACUGCCCACACAACCAACCUCAUACCCAACACAACCAGCCACAAGACAUUCCCUCCACCAGCCUCAAAACAAAAAACACACACACCAAAGGCCACCAGAAGACAAAAGAGACCACCACACCAGCCUGCCACUGUACUGCCAACAACCAAAUAAAGCCAGACAGCUCCCAAGAAAAACCACCACCAAACCCAACAACCAGCACACCACAAAGCCAACUCCACCUACCACACCAAAACCACCCAAGCCACUUUCUACCACCAGCCUCCUAACCAAAAAAAAAAAAAGCCCCACCACAAGACCACCAGCAAACAAGCCUGCCACAUCACCAACACAAACCUCUUACACACCAAAGCCAGCCAGCCACCUAAGCAAACACAAACAGAGCCAAGACAGCACAACACCCCAGGCCUACCUGCUGGCUCUGCUCCUCCUCAUCACAGCUCCCAGGAUCUCCAUCUUCCAUGCAGGAAAACAGCCACGCCAGGACCCUUAACUCCACUCCUCCGGGACAGGACCUGCCACACACCUUCCACCCUGUCACAAAAGCACAUCGUCACCCACACAGCCACUGCCUCCAGCCCCGGGGCACCACCCACCUCACAGGUAACAUGCAGCUCACCUUGCUCCACAGGGGCGCCCCACUCACACCACCAGGAUCCUGCCUCCAGCCUGAACCUGCACAGAGACCUCCAUCAACCACCUCCAAGGGGGCGCUCCUGGGGGCAGCCCUCCACCACGAGGGCUCCCGCCUGGGGCUCCCCCUCUCUCACCUCCUUCAUCCCACCACUGGGAAAACUGCACACCUGCUCCAGCCAAUCCUCUCUGCAGCCUUCACCCUGCAACAAGAGCACAGAUCACACAGCCAGACAGAAUGCCAAGGCCCCACUGCAAAGCACCCACACGCAACUGGAACGGGGCCCAGGGAACCGGACUCCACAACCUCCCCAGGCACUCCUCUCCCAUCCCGCUCACAGGGAAAUCAUUCUUCUUCCUCUUGAAUGAGAAAUUCUGGUGAUACCAAACAUGCACACUGCCCCCCUACUGCCACACACACGCCACUCAUCCCCGUCAACUGGGCUCCUGCACAGCAGGCAUUGCUAUCUGCCACCCUCCUCUCCUCUAACUGCACAAUCAAGACAACGCACAAAGCUACCUUUUGGUCCGGCAUGACUUCUCCUCUGUCCAUCCACCUGGACUGCUCCUUGCAAAUACCUUCUCCUCCAGUCACAUGGCAAUGACACCUGCAACAAGCUGUUGCGUCACCUCCCCAGGAACAGACAUGAGGCCAACCUACCUCCAAGUUGCACACGCCAUCCUCCACACCCUUUCUGAAGGCUGCGGUGGCAUCCGCCAUCCUCCAGUCUUCAGGUACCUUUCCCACAGGAAACAGCAGGGAAAAAGUGACAGAGAGCUAUUGCCAGUCACCGCUGCCAGCUCUCAGCGGGCACAGACAUAGCCCUCUACAGCUCAGAGAUUUGCUGGCCUCCUUUCUGCCUGAACUACCUUUGACCAGCUCCUCCGCAACUGAGGGGAAGACAUCCUUCCUCAGGGACUCUCUCCUCCAGGACCCCAGGUUCCCCAGGAGCACUCUCAGCAGAAACCACUGAAACCCAAGAGGCCUCCGCCUUGUAAAGCACAGGCCUGCAAUUUCUCCAGUCUCUCCUGUUGACAAACUUCCAUUAGCCUUGACCUCCCUCCCAAAGCUGAUACUCAGAGGGACUUGGCCUUCCUCAGCCUCUCUCUUCCUUCUCCCCUUCAAGUUCCUCAGUCAGCCCUGCAGGUCCCCCACCAUUCCGGCGCAGUUCCUUCCUCCUUGGGACGCAGCGCACCUCAGCAUGGACGAAGUAAUGCUCCAGCAUUCACAGGACCCCUUCCUAUGCUUGAGCAAGGGUUACCUCCAAGUAGGCCCUUCAAGAGGACAAACUUGGCUCCCUCCAAGUCCAGUGUUUCAAUCCUACUCAUUGCUUUGCAGCUUCCACACAAGAUCCCAAACACUGUGGUCUCACGACUGGCACGCUCCAGGCUGCCCCUGGCCUUCCUGUCCCCAAAUGGCUCUUCUGCAAUAGGGAGCUCCAGCAGCCCCUCUCCUCAAUGCCUCCUUCAUCACCUGUGUCAGAAGAUCUUACCUUUGACACAUUGCAGGAAACUCCUGGAGCCUACCAUGAGAACUAGCCUCACAGCUGUGGGCACCAUUUCCAGCUGUGUGCAGAAGGUCUAUCAGCUUCCUCACCCUGGUCUGUGACCAACACCACCACUCAUGUUACCCACUUUUACCUGCCUCUUCAGCCUCACGCACAAACGCUCCGCUGGUUCUUCAUUCACCCCUAGGUGGAGCUCGAUACGUUCCCGUUCUCUCCCUCGAAGAGAGACUCCACCGCCUGGCCGGUCUGUCUUUCCUAAAAAGAACAGAGCCAUCCACGACAGCACUCCAGUCGUGCGAGCUGCCCUGCCAGGUCUCCACGAUGGGAACCUAAAUCGUGCUCCUGCAGUUACACGGGAAGGAAGAGGCGGGAAAAAAAAAAACCACGGUCCCAACCUGCUCGCUCCCACCGCUGGAAACGGGAUGGGUGAGAGCACCCGCAAAACACUCCGCAGUGGCCGAGGCCACCCCGGGAUCGUGCUCGGUCUCGGGCGGAGGCCCCGUGCCGGUCCUACUAAAAAGCCACACGGGAGCCCAGCGGCGGCGCCGUGCCGAUCCCAAAGACAGAGGCAGUCGAGCAGCAACCCUACAGGAGCCCCAACACGAGAGAUCUUACCGAGCGACUCUCAAACACUCACCGCUUCCACGAGCUCACUGCUUCGGGCCGAUGAGAGCCUCUGCUGCAGCCCUCGCUCAGCCUGCAACACGAGAAACCUUUUGUUUCAACAACCCUUCGCUUCGCUUCCCUCUCCCGGCAGCACAGAGGCUGCACGAAUACGGCCCCAUCGCGUUCGCUCCUACCGAGGAGAGCCUGAAGAACUGAAGCACCCGCUGAAAGAAAUCCCGAGGAUGGGGGGGGCUGAGAGCACCCCGGGGCUGCGCGAGAACUCGGGGGUCUGAGCGGCAGCCGCCUCCAAGAAUGCGACGGCGGCCGGGCGACGGCGGCGAUGCCGUAUCGGCUCCGCACAGCCGGGGGAGCCCGGCGGCGACCUAACGCCGGCCCCGAGAAGAGCGGGGUCCGACAGCCGCCUGCUCCGGAGAUCCUGGCGGCUCCCGAGCGCUCACCGUCCCCUUACUACUCGAACCGCUCACCUGUUUGGGCUGGUCCUUACCGCGAAAGGUCUCACAGCAGCCUGAAACAAAACGACACCACGAGAACAUUAAAGAGAACCUCAAGGCUCCGUCCCCCCCCAAAAAACCCCGCGUACCGCUUCUCAGCCUCAGCAGCGUCAGGGCCCGACAAAGAAACAGAACUCACUCCGUCUCCUAUCCACAACCGCAGAAACUCCCCCGUGGCUCCCGGCAGCCUCCGGAGGAGCUUAAGAGGCUUUGGGGCGGGCCCCGCCCGCGGCUCCCGACGAGGCGCAGCUGCGCCCGGCCGGCCGCGGCCCCGCGGCACCUGGGAGUCGUUGCCUCCUUAGCGCAGCCGGCCUCGUUAGGGACGGCCCGGGGCUCUGACAGUUUGACGUGCGGACUCCGGAUCUGAAUUAGGGACUUAAAUUACACUUUGAAGUACAGUUUGUUACGCGCUUCUCCUUCUCGCCGCACUGUGGGAUUCAUCGAUAAGUUAAGUAAUUGUGCCAAUUCAAACGGGUCGCUUUGCAUCCGACGCGACCGGCGCGAUAGAGCGUCUCCCCUCCGAAGAACGUUCCCGGCCUUAACGGUUUCCAGGGGCCCCCGAUGGGUGCGUCUCCGCUCCGCUUUCCAUCGCCCCAAUUCCGAACAAAAGAAAAAGGAAAAAAAAAAUAAAUUAAUUAAUAAGAAAAAUAAGUCUUGUUGGAACAAACGUGCAGACCUUCACUGCUCAGGGGGACUACAAACCAAAGUAAAACUAGGGGCCGGCAAAAACAUGGUGCUCCACAGUCUUAAUUUAAUAAAACCUCCUGAAACAGUGUGAAAUUCAGAAGCCUGUGGUCGGGCUGAAGCGUGGUGUGCUGGCUGGCAGAUGUUUGGAAAGGUGCUAAGAUGUAACUCUUACUGUCCAUAGAAUUUGCUGUUAACCACUUGCAAGAUACAAAGUGACGGCCAGCUGGAUGAAUAGGAGAAUGUAUGUGAACACCCGGAACUGACAGACCCGGGACAGUGCAUGUGGCUUGAAGUGGGCACUGAGAGAAAGCUCAGACAAUGUAUAUACAUGCUUUUAACAUUCAAAUUAAUUUCCAUCGGGACACGACUUAAUUAAGGUGAGCUGUACAAAGUUCAUCUCAUUUCCCUUUACGCUCCAUUCCAUACACAAUGUAUGUUACCAGAGAGAUACUGCGCUAUGCUUCACUACUUUAAUCACUGUCCUGUCCCAUUGUAGUUCAGGAACGCAUGCAAGUGUACUGUUCUUAUUAGAGGCACGGUCUGGAAAAUAUGGCCGGGGAGCUGAACAGCAUUUCUAUUUCAGCUGCUGAAGCGCCCACUAACUUUGGAUGUCGCCUAAACCUUCAGAUGGAAUCCUUGCAGGCAUUCCCGUGGGGAUUGGGAAAUUGCAGUAUGCCGGAACUACCGUUGCUGAUGUGGGGCGAGCGCUCUGAAGUGCACUUGGAGAAGGACGCAUUCCAAUCCCGCAUAUAUGAAAAGUUUAAUAUUUUAGACAGCUAGAUGAAAUGCUGGGGUCUUGGUGCAUUUUGCUUUGGCGGUCCAGGCUUUGAACAUCUUAGGGAAAUGUUUGGAAAUGAAUUUGAUUUUCACAACUGUGAUACAAUUACAAGGCGGGGAUGUUUCAGUCUUCUCAACGAGGUGCCCUUGGUGGUGGUGGUCUGUAAAUGGCUACAGAACUGACAGAGAACUCUGCAAGCAUUUUCUUCGCCCCAUUUGCCCAGUCUGCCCGCCUCUGUGAUCCCCCGCAGCACUGGCUGGAAGUCCGCCGCGUGUCAGUGAGGAGCUGCUGCAGAAGGAAGAAGAAGAAGCGGCGUGGGGACCUGGGAGGCAGGAGCAAGCAAGAAGAGGAAGCGGAAGCGUGCAGAUGCGGGGGGGAAGGAGAGAGGCUCCCUGGGCAAAGCACCUGUCCCGUUAGCAGGGGCACAGUCACGUUUGAGUUGAGAGCUGC